GAGUGAGACAAAGAAAGAUACGAAUGAGAUAGAGAAAAGGUGGGAGUGACCGAGAGAGUGGGUUAGAAAGAAAUGGCAAGAUUGGGGAAUGGAAGUGCCAAAUUACUGCCAUUUGUGGGAAUGAUGGUGGCUAUGCUAACUCAAAGUGGAAGCAUGGUGGUCAUAAAAUUUGCCAUGAUUGAUGAUAUCAACAAAUAUGUAAUGGUUGUCUACUCUUUUGCACUCUCCACUAUCUUGCUUCUUCCCUUUGCCUUCUUUCUCCACAGGUCAGAACGUCCUCCUCUCACGUUCUCUUUACUCUGCAAAUUCUUUCUUCUUGCAUUCUUUGGGAGUGCAGCAACUACAAUGGGUUAUGUUGGAAUAGAACUGAGCUCGCCGACACUUGGAUCAGACCUUCUUAGCCUCGUUCCAGCUUUCACUUUUAUACUUGCUCUCAUUUUCAGGAUGGAAGAAGUACAUUGGAGGAACUCAAGCAGCCAAGCUAAAGUGUUAGGAACAAUAACAUCAAUUGCAGGAGCAUUUGUUGUGGUACUGUACAAGGGUCCAAUCAUCUUUAAGACACGUUCGUCCAACUUUUCUAACCAAAUACUUCAAUUUUCACAACAGCUAAAUUGGAUAUUGGGAGGGAUAUUCUUUAUUGCAUAUUCACUCUUUAAUUCCAUGUGGUACAUAUAUCAGGCUUAUGUAGCAAAGAAAUACCCUGAUGUAACAGUGACUGUAUUCUUUCAACUCUUAUUUUCAACCGUGCAGUGUGGAGUAUUUGCCUUAAUUGCUGUGAGGGAUCCAACUGAAUGGAAGCUCAACUUCGAUAUAGGCCUGGUUGGCGUUCUAUAUCAGGCAAUAGUUGCAACAAUGAUAUCUUACCUGCUAUUCCAAUGGUGCGUCCUUAAAGCUGGUCCUUUGUUUUGUUCUAUGUUCAGUCCUGUGGCAAUGAUCUUCACCGUUUUCAUGGGUGCAAUCUUUCUUGGAGAUGAUUUAAGUCUUGGAAGUUUGAUUGGUGCGGUUAUAAUCGUGGUUGGAUUUUAUGGUGUAUUGUGGGGGAAAUCGAAAGAGGAGAAUGAGAUUGCAGAAGGGGUUGAGGACUUCGACUCAUCAUUCCAUGAUGUUCCUUUGUUGCAAGACAGGAACAGGUUGGUUCUAAAGAAAGGUUUGGAAAACGGAAUCAAACAAAAUGUCAGAUAGGCCUCCCGUCCAAGUUUAGAGACUAUGGGUUUGAAACUUAAAACCAUAAUUCUCGUGACAAUGACAAUGACAGAAGCGUUGGAGGUGUUGUGAUUGAUGAGGUGUCGCUAACCCACUGUAGGACAUUGUUGUGCCGCUAACCCACUGUAGGACAUUGUUGUUAUGGGUAUAAAAGGUCUCAAAGCAUCGGCAUUAUGGCUUCGAGACUUUGUCGGAAUCGUCGUAAGGAAUCUGAGAUUUGUUUUAUGUACUCGUGUAGUGUGGAAAAUUGUCACUUAUGGCAAUUGACACCAUUUUUUGGAUAGU
RNA transcript from Vigna unguiculata (cowpea), 1488 nucleotides. It is a transcript of the gene named WAT1-related protein At5g40240-like, with no coding region annotated. The record is from RefSeq and is a predicted model, not a curated record. Lineage: Eukaryota; Viridiplantae; Streptophyta; Magnoliopsida; Fabales; Fabaceae.